RNAcentral lists this ribosomal RNA (392 nucleotides) under uncultured bacterium. RNAcentral's name for it is "partial 16S ribosomal RNA". It matches the Rfam family "Bacterial small subunit ribosomal RNA", at positions 523 to 918 of the family's 1533-position model. The record is from RNAcentral.
AUACGGAGGAUGCGAGCGUUAUCCGGAUUUAUUGGGUUUAAAGGGAGCGUAGGCGGGAGCUUAAGUCAGCGGUUAAAUGGUGCGGCUCAACCGUGCCCUGCCGUUGAAACUGGGUUUCUUGAGAGUGCAAGAGGCGGAUGGGAUUCCUGGUGUAGCGGGGAAAUGCUUAGAUAUCAUGAAGAACUCCGAUUGCGAAGGCAGUCCGCUGGGGCACGUCUGACGCUGAUGCUCGAAGGUGCGGGAAUCAAACAGGAUUAGAUACCCUGGUAGUCCGCACGGUAAACGAUGAUUACCCGCUGUCGGCGGUAGACAGUCGGCGGCCAAGCGAAAGCGAUAAGUAAUCCACCUGGGGAGUACGCCGGCAACGGUGAAACUCAAAGGAAUUGACGGGG